UACGUAGGGGGCAAGCGUUGUCCGGAAUCAUUGGGCGUAAAGCGCGUGUAGGCGGCUCGGUAAGUCUGCUGUGAAAGUCCAGGGCUCAACCCUGGAAAGCCGGUGGAAACUGUCAAGCUUGAGUCCGGAAGAGGCGAGUGGAAUUCCUGGUGUAGCGGUGAAAUGCGCAGAUAUCAGGAGGAACACCAAUGGCGAAGGCAGCUCGCUGGGACGGUACUGACGCUGAGACGCGAAAGCGUGGGGAGCAAACAGG
Molecule: ribosomal RNA, 253 nt
Filed under: uncultured bacterium
Lineage: Bacteria
Description: partial 16S ribosomal RNA
Rfam family: Bacterial small subunit ribosomal RNA
Source: RNAcentral